CACUUUACAUGCCCUUGGCAGAUUAACGAGGACAAAUAUAAUACUAAAAGGAAUAUUUGUUUAGAUGUUUCUACUGGCAGAUGGCAGAUGGUGUCUUAUUGGGGUUUGCCUAUUCCAUUAACAUAGGGAAGAUCUGUUCUGCCAAAUUUCUUGGCAGUCAGCAAGAGUGGCAGCUUAAUGGGGGCCAUCUUAUCAGUGUUUGUUUGUAUAUACAUCACAUAGGACAAUCAACUGAAUUGACUGGGUGCAUUCACUUUAGUUUUCCAUUAGAAGACUCAGAAUUAAAUUAGAAACAUAGCUCUUGGAAAGUUUAUAUGUUAGGUCAGUGAAAUUUUUUGUUUCACUUAAUAUCAUUUCAGUUAAUGUUACAAUUUUCAAGAACUUAAGCCUGACAUUAAAUGAGGAUCCAUUGGAUUUAAUGUCAGGUAUAAGUAUUUAUAAUAUGUAUAAAUACCUAUACAGUGAUUAAGAUUAUAA
RNAcentral lists this long non-coding RNA (477 nucleotides) under Androctonus crassicauda. The record is from RNAcentral. Lineage: Eukaryota; Metazoa; Arthropoda; Arachnida; Scorpiones; Buthidae.